ACCACAUAACACAAUGAUCCAGGUUAUCGCUAGAGGAUGGAGAAGUUACACGCCUUCCAAAGUGGUUUCUUUUUUCUAGGUGUUACAAUAUAGCAUCCCCUAUAGGCAAGUCUUCCCCUUUGGGGCGGGAUGUGUCAUGUUUUUGGGUCAGGUUAAGUCAGUGGAUCAUUUGUCUUUUCUUUAUGACUUUGUGUUUUCUAUUUGGUAUGGAGUAAUUUUAAGAGGUGGAUAGAGUUAUGGCUAUUCCACAGUCUAUUAUAGACGUGUUCAAACUUUUUUCAGGGAU
This 286-nucleotide long non-coding RNA is filed under the name Lathyrus oleraceus (garden pea). RNAcentral describes it as "Pisum sativum (pea) long non-coding RNA (PSAT_LNC001670)". Lineage: Eukaryota; Viridiplantae; Streptophyta; Magnoliopsida; Fabales; Fabaceae. The record is from RNAcentral.